GGACCAGCGCUGCGUGGGGCGCUCCGAGUGCGCAGCUGUGUGCGGGACGCUGGGGAGAGCGCUUGUGGCCGGCUGUGGAGUCUGAGACGCGUACCUGGAUUGGAUGCCUGAACCCGUGGUGAAUGGGACUCCCUUCCCCAUUGGUUCUUUUCAUUGUACCACUCGGAGACAGGUGGAGUUGAGCUGGACCGAGGAGAAAAGCUGUGAAUGUGAAAUUAUGCUCUUGCCUUUAAAAAGAGUACUAGUCACAUCGCUGAAUAAUCCACCCUCAACCUUAAUUAGCAGAAUUGCCGGAGAUAUAUUUAAUAUUUGUAUUGACCAGACAUACUUGACAAAGAGGUUAGUAUUUUUUUUCUUUGUACCUCUAACGCCCAAAGAUAAACCUGACAUCGAAGUACUCAAUCUUUAUUGGAUUUAAUGAGCUAUUUUAAGGUGCUCCAUGUUUAAAUGCUUCCUCUGUUAAGAUACAAGAGCCCAGAGAAUAUUUUCAUUACCGUAUCUACACCAAAUACUCAACGUAAUGAAACAAAUUAAGGAUAUCAAAGUCAUGUACUAUAUAUCCUGAAAUCUAAAAGACUUAGCCAGGAGCCCAGUAGCUGGAUGCAUCAGGUUCUGGACAAUUAAAUGUCAAAAGCUGACAUCUUGGACCCACAGGUUGUCUUCGCCAGCAUUGAGUAAUGUUGGGGGUGUGCCUCAACCUGUUUGAACUCCAUCUCCUCAUCUGCAGAGCAAGUCCUUCCGAAGGACCAACCUCUCAGGGUUCUUGCCCAGUAAGUCGAGUAAAACAAAUAAAGCACUCAGCACAGUCACUGUCAUGGUGGCUUGUUAUUGUGAUGCCUCCAAGUGUGGCCUCUUUUGGACAAGAGGGUAAGAUGGAGUUCUAGAAGAGUUUGUGUAAUGCACGGUUUAGCAGAACUUAAAUUUUUCCACAUUUGGGGACUGAGAUUCUGCAUAUCCUACUUUCUGAUUGGAGACACAAUUGCUUUCAAAAAAAAAAAAACAAAAACAAAAAACAAACAAAAAAAACAGAAUUGAGUUCUCUAUGAGCAAAACAUGUAAUAAAAAGAGGGGUGUGUGUGUGUGUGUGUGUGUGUGUGUGUGUGUGUGUGUGUGUGUGUAUUGGCUCAGAGUCCCCUGUAUCUGUCAUCUCCUCUGCUUUAAGAUAAAGCAGUCAAGGCAAUGAAUAUCCUAGUAAGAGCACCAGUGGAAGGGGAAGCCCUGGGUCCUGCUAAGACUGAACCCCCAGUGAACUAGAC
RNAcentral lists this long non-coding RNA (1256 nucleotides) under Rattus norvegicus (Norway rat). RNAcentral's name for it is "long non-coding RNA NONRATT033779". The record is from RNAcentral. Lineage: Eukaryota; Metazoa; Chordata; Mammalia; Rodentia; Muridae.